This is a long non-coding RNA of Sarcophilus harrisii (Tasmanian devil), 1347 nucleotides long. RefSeq lists it as uncharacterized. The record is from RefSeq and is a predicted model, not a curated record. Lineage: Eukaryota; Metazoa; Chordata; Mammalia; Dasyuromorphia; Dasyuridae. The transcript has 4 exons.
GCUCCAAGAAAUAUUUAAGAAAUGACUUAAGACAAAAUAUUCUUCUCUGAUUAUACUUCAUACGUUGUUUAUGGCAGUCUUAAAUUGAUUAUUUAUGGACAUAAGAUAAUACAAUAUUACAUUUAAAUUGUAUUUUCACUCCUUUAGAAUCUUUUUGAGGAGGUGUCUCUUUUCACACUUUCCGAGAAUUAGAGAAGCUUUAACCAGGCCAGAUCUUUAACAUACUUCCAAAGUAAAAGAAUUGCUCAAAUCAUUUAGACUCUGGUCUACAUUACUUUCCGUUAUCUUAUUGACUAGUAUCUGACUAUUCAGAUUGUCUUUAAGAGUGUUGUCUUAUUUUUCUUCUUCACUUUGACAGUGAAUCUCUAGUUAUUUAUCUAUAGUUUAGCUGUUUUGUGUGUUGGCAGAAAACAAAUACAAUUUAUAUCUAAACUAUUUCCCUACAUAGGAUUUUUGAAGGGUGAAUUCCCACCCACAAACUAUCUUUGUGUGCUUUUUGGAAACUCUAAGGGAUUAGCUGAGUAUUUGAUAGUAUUUAUUGUAGCUUUGAAGCUCCUAGGAAUUACACAUUUUAUAAUUUGGGAUAUAUUGGAAAAUAUCUGAGCAUAUACUAUAUUAAUAAGGAAACUAAUAUUUAGAUUUCUACUUUUUACUUCGAAUUCGAGCAUUUUGUUUCUUGUGAUUAAAGAUAUUCAUAAAGACAAUGUAUCAAGAAAAAAAAUGCUAUUUGGGCAGUUUGUCAGUCCUUCAUUGAUGCCUCAUAGGCAUCCCAUACAUCAUGCUUGUAUGAGGAUAGUCAGGGUUGUGAUGCUGAUAAGGGUGAUUAUGAGGGGAGUGAUGAAGAAAUACAGUUAUGAAAGGUUGCCAUUUUUGUUGUUUUUUAUAGCUCAUAUCCAGUUUUUCAUGCCAUUGUUCUUGGAUGCCUUAAAGGUGCAAGAUGCUGUGGGUUGUUUACUGGAUACUUACAAGGUGCAAAAUGCUGUGAGGAUACAGAUAAACAUACAAGUUUUAACAGGCUGAGAGAAAGAUAUAUUUGCCUCUUCACCUUCUGUGUGGGAAAUUACAUUGGCUAAGAUGUGUAUGCUUAAGUCAAAGGUGAGGAUAACUGGUGGAAACCCCACAUGCCUCUGUGAUGUUUGAAGAGAAAUAGAGAAAGAACCUUAGCAUCUUGGCUGGAUUGGCUGUCUUGAAUUUCUAGAAGAAUCUGGGUAAAAGUUGCACAGGAUGGGCAGUCAAAAUUAUUUGAGAAGAAGACUUGGAUUAAGAAAAGAUUUAUGGACCCAGUGAUGUCAGUGGAAAAAUAUCUCUUGGACAAUGAGGCUGAAGUCCUUUCUUUUAAAAAUAAAU